GUGGGCAAGCUACUAAGGGUUUAUGGUGGAUGCCUUGGCGCCAAGUGCCGAUGAAGGACGUGGGUCACUGCGAAAAGCCUCGGGGAGCCGUGAACAGGCGCCGAUCCGGGGAUGUCCGAAUGGGGAAACCCAACGAUGCGAACCAUCGUUAUCCUCUGCUGAACACAUAGGCAGAAGGAAGGGAACCUGGGGAACUGAAACAUCUAAGUACCCAGAGGAAAAGAGAGUAUUUCCCGAGUAGUGGCGAGCGAAAGGGAAGCAGCCCAAACCGUAUCAGCUUGCUGAUGCGGGGUUGUAGGGCCUGACACAUAGGAGUUACCAAGACAACGGUUAGUGGAAUGGUGUGGGAAAGCCAACCAAAGAAGGUGAGAGUCCCGUACGCGAAAAUUGUUGUCCUCCUGACAGGUACCUGAGUACUGCCGGGCACGCUAAUCCGGCAGGAAGCUGGGGGGUCCACCCUCCAAGGCUAAAUACACUUGGCGACCGAUAGUGAACAAGUACCGUGAGG
RNAcentral lists this ribosomal RNA (508 nucleotides) under bacterium. Its description in RNAcentral is "partial 23S ribosomal RNA". It matches the Rfam family "Bacterial large subunit ribosomal RNA", at positions 1 to 508 of the family's 2925-position model. The record is from RNAcentral.